CAGAGGGCGCCCUGCUCACUGGCCAUGUCUCACACAGGCCACAAGCCUGCGUGUCCUGAUGGUUUCAGAAGGGCUUCACCUUCUCUGGUGACCCUGGGUGACCGGGGGUCCUCCCAACCCAUUGUAGAAGGCAUCUCCCUGUGUAUUCAACCAAAGAGACAAGUAGGUGUUCUGCCACGGGAACAUCAGGGCACAGACAUUUGAAAUAAAAUUCAGCAAAGCUUCAAGCAGAAGGGGGAGUGUCCUGGCGCCAGCACACCCCUCCUGGACGGCGAGAGAGAUGGUCUUGGAUCAACCCAAGGAAGAGCAAGAGGCUGAGCUGAGUUGGGGUCGCUGUCUUAAAACACAGUGCCAACAAACCAUAAGAGCAAAGAAAAAAUGAUGGCUGUGCAGACGGCUCAGGUCUCAGCCCUUCCUCCCUGAGUCCCACCUUCCCCCCCAGUCCCUUCCCCACGGAACCAGGAAAGUGCUGUGAGCUCAGUCCACCUGGGUGGGGAAGGGCAGAGUUCUGUUUGGAAAAUGACCAUCAGGCAAAGUCAGAAUGAGCAGCAAUAUCAAAAUACACUACCAUGUGAUCACGAUUACCGAACAACGUGUUUUAAGCAAAUAUUUACUGGUACUUGCACUAUGCCUCAAGCACUGCGCAGAGGGACAGCCAGGACAAUAUCACAGCCCCUGCCACCCUGACCCCAGAGCAGAGAACUGCAGGUGUUAACCAGAGAACCACACAGACAUGGAACUGAGGGCGAGGCUCUGCAAGACCGAGACAAACAGGUGGUCCGACAGCAGGGAUAUUGCUUCAACAAUUCAAUUUUAGAAUUGCCCUUAAAAAUCACAUACGAC
This 843-nucleotide long non-coding RNA is filed under the name Marmota monax (woodchuck). Lineage: Eukaryota; Metazoa; Chordata; Mammalia; Rodentia; Sciuridae. The record is from RNAcentral.